UGGGGAAUAUUGGACAAUGGGGGCAACCCUGAUCCAGCAAUGCCGCGUGUGUGAAGAAGGCCUUCGGGUUGUAAAGCACUUUAGGCUGGGAAGAAGGUGAGUGGUUUAAGAGAUAGCUCAUUUGACGGUACCGGCAGAAUAAGCACCGGCUAACUCUGUGCCAGCAGCCGCGGUAAUACAGAGGGUGCGAGCGUUAAUCGGAAUUACUGGGCGUAAAGGGCGCGUAGGUGGUGAGUUAAGAUUGUUGUGAAAUCCCUGGGCUUAACCUAGGAACUGCAACGAUGACUGGUUCGCUUGAGUAUUGUAGAGGGUAGUGGAAUUUCCGGUGUAGCGGUGAAAUGCGUAGAGAUCGGAAGGAACACCAGUGGCGAAGGCGGCUACCUGGACAAAUACUGACACUGAGGCGCGAGAGCGUGGGGAGCAAACAGG
Molecule: ribosomal RNA, 429 nt
Filed under: uncultured bacterium
Lineage: Bacteria
Description: bacterial SSU rRNA
Rfam family: Bacterial small subunit ribosomal RNA
Source: RNAcentral